GUGUCAGCAGCCGCGGUAAUACGUAGGGUGCGAGCGUUAAUCGGAAUUACUGGGCGUAAAGCGUGCGUAGGCGGUUGCACAAGCUUGAUGUGAAAGCCCCGGGCUCAACCUGGGAAUGGCAUUGAGGACUGUGCGGCUUGAGUGCGGCAGAGGGAGGUGGAAUUCCAGGUGUAGCAGUGAAAUGCGUAGAGAUCUGGAGGAACACCGAUGGCGAAGGCAGCCUCCUGGGCCGACACUGACGCUGAUGCACGAAAGCGUGGGGAGCAAACAGGAUUAGAAACCCUGGUAGUCC
This 292-nucleotide ribosomal RNA is filed under the name uncultured bacterium. Its description in RNAcentral is "partial 16S ribosomal RNA". It matches the Rfam family "Bacterial small subunit ribosomal RNA", at positions 505 to 796 of the family's 1533-position model. The record is from RNAcentral.